AUAAAUCUGGUGGUACCAGAUUUGGGUACCACCCCAGUAUUGACCCAUCUUCAACGGCUUAUGUAUUUCGUACAUUCCUGCCAGCCAACAUGAAUAUCACCCA
RNAcentral lists this non-coding RNA (103 nucleotides) under Pongo abelii (Sumatran orangutan). Its description in RNAcentral is "Mitochondrial DNA control region secondary structure A". It matches the Rfam family "Mitochondrial DNA control region secondary structure A". Lineage: Eukaryota; Metazoa; Chordata; Mammalia; Primates; Hominidae. The record is from Rfam by way of RNAcentral.